RNAcentral lists this ribosomal RNA (494 nucleotides) under uncultured bacterium. RNAcentral describes it as "bacterial SSU rRNA". It matches the Rfam family "Bacterial small subunit ribosomal RNA", at positions 17 to 507 of the family's 1533-position model. The record is from RNAcentral.
UCCUGGCUCAGAUUGAACGCUGGCGGCAUGCCUUACACAUGCAAGUCGAACGGCAGCGGACCUUCGGGUGCCGGCGAGUGGCGAACGGGUGAGUAAUAUAUCGGAACGUACCUUUCAGUGGGGGAUAACGUAGCGAAAGUUACGCUAAUACCGCAUAUUCCUGUGAGCAGGAAAGCAGGGGAUCGCAAGACCUUGCGCUGAUUGAGCGGCCGAUAUCAGAUUAGCUAGUUGGUGAGGUAAAGGCUCACCAAGGCGACGAUCUGUAGCGGGUCUGAGAGGAUGAUCCGCCACACUGGAACUGAGACACGGUCCAGACUCCUACGGGAGGCGGCAGUGGGGAAUUUUGGACAAUGGGCGCAAGCCUGAUCCAGCCAUGCCGCGUGAGUGAAGAAGGCCUUCGGGUUGUAAAGCUCUUUCGGCCGGGAAGAAAUCGCACAGGUUAAUACCCUGUGUGGAUGACGGUACCGGAAUAAGAAGCACCGGCUAACUACGUG